Long non-coding RNA from Acipenser ruthenus (sterlet), 729 nucleotides. RefSeq lists it as uncharacterized. The transcript has 4 exons. NCBI's taxonomy places the organism in Eukaryota, Metazoa, Chordata, Actinopteri, Acipenseriformes, Acipenseridae. The record is from RefSeq and is a predicted model, not a curated record.
CACACACACACACACACACACACACAGAGAGAGAACCUGGAAACAUAAAGCAGAAUAUUACAUAAAAAGAAUGGGCAGGAAACCAAGAGCCGCACACCUACGUUUUGGACUUUCCUCCCAUUGGCUAUAGCAUUUUGAAAAGAGUGAGUGUGUGGGGAGAGUGAGUUAUAUUAUGAAGACCGAAUGCAUGAAAAGAGCUCCUAACUGUAUCAAAAAUAUAUGGUAUGCUGUACAGACUUUAGGCUAAAGAUUGAAAGGGAACAUUUCAAAUCGUAAACAGACCGUGGCGACAGAACUGGAAACAUGUUCGUCUGACUGGAUCGUAUAUGUAAAGGGUACUGCUUUUAUAACUACCUCCUCUGGUUUCUAAGAAAUUGUAUUUACAAAGACGAGACAAAAAAAAACCAUAAAUCGCCAUGAAGGCUAAUAUGAUGUUUUAAAAGAAGACGUUUCCGGGUUUUAUUGACGCUGUAAAAGAAAGGACAACAAACAAUAAAACAAUUCACUAAGUUAGCCGACGCGACCCCAGCUCUGUCUCAGAAUAAGGGCUGCAUAGACAGACAGAGGACUUGCAAGCGAACGGACACUAAAUGCUGAAUUCGGAAAUGAAGACCAGGGACGCUGCUUGCUUUCACUCCUCUUCCCCCUCCUCCUCCUCCUCCUCCUCCUCUACCCCAGGCUUGUCUUCGGUUGACGGGCUCUGUCCCGUGGCCUUGUUCUCCUUCUUCC